Molecule: transfer RNA, 73 nt
Filed under: Osteolaemus osborni
Lineage: Eukaryota; Metazoa; Chordata; Crocodylia; Crocodylidae
Description: Osteolaemus tetraspis osborni tRNA-Thr
Source: RNAcentral
CACUCUUGUAGCUUAAGCCUAAAAGCGCUGGCCUUGUAAGACAGAAAUGGAAUAAUACACACCUUCCCAAGAG